RNAcentral lists this unclassified non-coding RNA (296 nucleotides) under Hevea brasiliensis (rubber tree). The record is from RNAcentral. Lineage: Eukaryota; Viridiplantae; Streptophyta; Magnoliopsida; Malpighiales; Euphorbiaceae.
GGGGCUGAUUCUUAGCCUGCUGCCUUCGCUAACAGAAGUGCCAGGGAAAGGGAAUAGGAUUUCGAUUCGUGUAACCUCUUUUCCACUCUCAAUGCUUGGCUUACGGCCAGGUUUAGAGCAGCAGACAAAGGGAAAGAUUUCCAGUCAAGGACGCUACGCCCCAAGAUCUGUUCAUUCCUCUUCUUCUUCCUAUCCGAAUUGAUUCUAUUCCUCUUCAUAUCCUAUUCUUUGGAAAGAAGGAUUUCCACUGCCCGAAACCAUAAACAAUGGCUACGCACUUAAGAAUUGACUUGUAA